GAUGAACGCUGGCGGCGUGCCUAAUACAUGCAAGUCGAGCGAACGGACGAGAAGCUUGCUUCUCUGAUGUUAGCGGCGGACGGGUGAGUAACACGUGGAUAACCUACCUAUAAGACUGGGAUAACUUCGGGAAACCGUAGCUAAUACCGGAUAAUAUUUUGAACCGCAUGGUUCAAAAGUGAAAGACGGUCUUGCUGUCACUUAUAGAUGGAUCCGCGCUGGAUUAGCUAGUUGGUAAGGUAACGGCUUACCAAGGCAACGAUGCGUAGCCGACCUGAGAGGGUGAUCGGCCACACUGGAACUGAGACACGGUCCAGACUCCUACGGGAGGCAGCAGUAGGGAAUUUUCCGCAAUGGGCGAAAGCCUGACGGAGCAACGCCGCGUGAGUGAUGAAGGUCUUCGGAUCGUAAAACUCUGUUAUUAGGGAAGAACAUAUGUGUAAGUAACUGUGCACAUCUUGACGGUACCUAAUCAGAAAGCCACGGCUAACUACGUG
This 497-nucleotide ribosomal RNA is filed under the name uncultured bacterium. RNAcentral describes it as "partial 16S ribosomal RNA". It matches the Rfam family "Bacterial small subunit ribosomal RNA", at positions 28 to 507 of the family's 1533-position model. The record is from RNAcentral.